Molecule: long non-coding RNA, 2417 nt
Organism: Oncorhynchus tshawytscha (Chinook salmon)
Lineage: Eukaryota; Metazoa; Chordata; Actinopteri; Salmoniformes; Salmonidae
Source: Ensembl
UACAGUAUAUGGCUACCUUUAUUUACAUGUAUCAAGUGUAUGUUGGUUGGUGACUGUUCUUUGAAAAGUUUAAGGCAAAGACUACAGAUAGAUAUGGUGUGUAUAAAAGUUGUGCCGUUGUCACCAAUAAAGACGACCCUGACUAACACUGGCACGCUCUGCUGGUCACAUCGAAAGUACACCGUAAAAAUUAAACAAAUGUCCUUCUCUCUCUACAUUUGACAUUAACCAUGAACACACAAAAGAGACCAUCUGUAACCAGAUGGCUGUAGGGUUCAAAUCAAAUGUCAUGUCACAUGCUUUUGUAAACAAUACGUGUAGACCGACAGUGAAAUGCUUACUUAAAUCUACCCCUGUUAGUUAUGAAGCAUGUGACAUUAUGUUCAAGUUAAACUUUUGUAUAAAUACUAAAUAUUUCAGUGUAAUUAUACAGUAGGCUGAUUGAUGGUGACAAGUGACAAUUAGCGUUUUCAAAGUUCUAUAUCUUGAAAACUGGAUUGCUGCACUGCAAAACAUUUUUUGGGGGGCUGUAUCAACAGUGGACGAAUGAAACAAAUAUACACAAAAAUAUCAUUUUGGGAGUGGAAUUGACCUUCAAGUCAAAGUUGCUGAAUUAAAAAGGUGAUCAUCCCUGUAAAAUGUCUAUUCCCGACGCGCUUCAUAUCGUCAGCUCACUCUCAAUAUCACGUUAGAGGAUGAGGCAUCUCUAUCAUGUACAGUAUGCGUUCUCUAUGCCCAUUGGACAGACUGAAAAGCGGACCUGAGACCUCCCUCAGUGUUCCGACGCAGCAUUAAGAACAGACAGAAUAUACAUCUAGAUGCUGAUCCACACAUUAUACCGGUCUGUCAGCUGGACAAUGGCUUCACCAUGAGCAGGUCUGAUCACCUUUCAGUUUAGAGACAAGGGCAGCAGGUCUGAUCACCUUUCAGUUUAGAGACAAGGGCAGCAGGUCUGAUCACCUUUCAGUUUAGAGACAAGGGCAGCAGGUCAGAUCACCUUUCAGUUUAGAGACAAGGGCAGCAGGUCAGACCACCUUUCAGUUUAGAGACAAGGGCAGCAGGUCAGACCACCUUUCAGUUUAGAGACAAGGGCAGCAGGUCAGACCACCUUUCAGUUUAGAGACAAGGGCAGCAGGUCAGACCACCUUUCAGUUUAGAGACAAGGGCAGCAGGUCUGAUCACCUUUCAGUUUAGAGACAAGGGCAGCAGGUCUGAUCACCUUUCAGUUUAGAGACAAGGGCAGCAGGUCUGAUCACCUUUCAGUUUAGAGACCAGGGCAGCAGGUCAGAUCACCUUUCAGUUUAGAGACCAGGGCAGCAGGUCUGAUCACCUUUCAGUUUAGAGACCAGGGCAGCAGGUCUUGAUCACCUUUCAGUUUAGAGUCCAGGGCAGCAGGUCAGAUCACCUUUCAGUUUAGAGACAAGGGCAGCAGGUCUGAUCACCUUUCAGUUUAGAGACCAGGGCAGCAGGUCUGAUCACCUUUCAGUUUAGAGACCAGGGCAGCAGGUCUGAUCAUAUAAAUAGAACACGGUCGACUUGAAAUGUCUGUUCUAGAUAUUUUAUUUGAAUUAGUGUGAUUCUGUUUUACUGUACCGCUCUGCCUUACCAGCAGUCUUCUACCUAUAGCGGACAUUCUGCUGGUUAAAUGAACAGCUGAACGAAAACAGAUAAACACUUGAGAUACAGAGAGAGAGAGAGAGACAGAGAGAGAGAGAGACAGAGAGAGAGAGAGAGACAGAGAGAGAGAGAGAGAGAGAGAGAGAAAAGAUACAGGUUUCACCUUAGUGCACAGGAGCAGUAACAAUGUCACCAACCAACACCAUAAAAAUGGAAUAUCUUUAAACUAACAAACUCUUUGUCCUUGAGACUUCAGUAUAUUCAAAAUGAAACUACCAAAAGAUCUGAACAACAAAAAAUCAUUCAAAUGACUACAUACUAAUACAGUAUAGUGUUUUAAAUUACUCUGUACAUCUUGGAACGGUCCCCAAAAAAGCUACUUAUUUCCUAUACAGUGCACUACAUUCAUCAGGGCCCAUACGACUCUACUUUUGCUCAAAGGUAGUGCACUAUAUAGGGAAUAGGUUGUUAUUUGGGACGUAAGCACUAAGUCACGUGACUGGGCGGAAGGGAGAUACUGUACAAGAAAAACAUUACUUCAAAUGAAUACACACUUUUUUUUUUUUUUUUUUUUUUUUUUUUAACACAGAACCCCCUACACACACACACGAGUAGAGUACAGUGUUUGGAGGACGACAACAAUCUCCCAGUUCACAAUCAGACCCUUUCUCAUUUUCAUAUAGAGAACAAAUGAGACCACCAUGUGUGGGAGGUUAUGUGGGGGCAGGGCAUAUCAGGGAAGCACCUCCCACCCCCGCAUCCCUGAUAAGCCCGCCCCCGCAUCCCUGAUAAGCCCGCCC